AACAGAUCCGUAACUUCGGGAUAAGGAUUGGCUCUAAGGGUUGGGUACGUUGGGCUUUAGGCGGACGGCUCGGGAGCAGGUCGCCACUAGCCGGGCAACCGGCCGGAGGCUUCCAGCAUCUGGGUUCUGACGCCUUUAGCAGGCUUCGGCCGUCCGGCGUACGGUUAACAACCAACUUAGAACUGGUACGGACAAGGGGAAUCUGACUGUCUAAUUAAAACAUAGCAUUGCGAUGGCCAGAAAGUGGKRUAUACGGCAUCAGUACGGAAUGCAUAUUCAGUCAGAGGCCACGUGGAUGUUUCGACUCGAGUCCGAGUU
This 318-nucleotide non-coding RNA is filed under the name Colletotrichum higginsianum. RNAcentral describes it as "eukaryotic large subunit ribosomal RNA". It matches the Rfam family "Eukaryotic large subunit ribosomal RNA", at positions 1922 to 2326 of the family's 3401-position model. The record is from RNAcentral. Lineage: Eukaryota; Fungi; Ascomycota; Sordariomycetes; Glomerellales; Glomerellaceae.